This is a long non-coding RNA of Piliocolobus tephrosceles (Ugandan red Colobus), 3122 nucleotides long. Lineage: Eukaryota; Metazoa; Chordata; Mammalia; Primates; Cercopithecidae. The record is from Ensembl.
AAAAAAAAACUUUUUACCGUGGGGACGAUAAACUUAAUAGAGACGGAAAUAAUAAUAAUAUUAGUACUACUGCUACAGUAAGUGCUUAUUAUAAUAACAACACAAACGAUUAUAAUAUAAAUAAAGAAUGUAAUAAUAGAAACAUGAAUAUAACCUAUAAAUAUGGUCAACAUGAAAAUAAAAACAAGAGCCAACCACUUGAUGUGAAUAAAAACAUACAUGAUGUAGGGCGACUUGAAAAUAAAUAUUAUAAAAAAUAUAAAAAUAACGAUGGUAAGGAUGAGAAUUAUUAUAAUACUAAAAGAAAUAAACGAAAGUAUGAAAAAGAAGAAGAUGAAAGCGAAGACCAAGACCAAGACCAAGACCAAGACCAAGACCAAGACCAAGACCAAGACCAAGAACAAGACGAACAUAAAAAAAGGAAUCCCUAUGUGAGGAGUAACGAAAAAAAAUAUAUGAACAACAAAAAUGAAGGAAAUAAUAAUAAUUCUUAUUAUUAUGAUAAAAACAUAAAAAAUAAAGAUUUCGACAAAAAUAACAGUCGAAAUUUUGUUAAUAAGCAAAAUAUGACAAAUUAUAAUGAACAAAACAGUGAGUAUAACAAUAAAAAUAAUAAAUAUGGAAAUUAUACUUAUAGAACUAGAGACGAUAAAAAACAUAAAUCAUCUGUAUAUGUGAAUUCGAAAAAUAAUGUAAUCGAUGAAACAAAUAUUGCGGAUGAUAUGAAUAGUAAUAGUAAUAGUAAUAGUAAUAAUGCACAAUAUAAUCAUAUAAAAAACAAAAGACAUAAAAUUAAUUAUUACAAUCUUGAUAACAGUAAUAAUGAUACUAGUAGUGGUAACUAUAAGAGUGGCAGUAACUAUAAUAGGGAGUACAGUACUCAUGGACUAAACGAAUACAAGGGUUAUAAUAAUGGCAUUAAUAAUUGUGGUAACAAAAAUAGUAUAGAAGAUAUUUUAGAUAAUAAAUAUAAUAUUGAAUUAUCUCGAUUUAUUUUUAUAUAUAAAAUGAUGAAUAAUAUAACUGAAGAGGAGGUAGACGAAAUAAUAAGAAAUAUUGCAAUUAGUAACGCUUUUUCCUUACCCAUUAAUAUUUAUAUAAACAAAUUAUCUUAUUUUUGUUUAAAAGAAGAACUAUUUGUUAAAGAAGGGUUGGAAUUUUUAAAAAACAAUUCUUAUUUUAACAUGAUACAACAAAAAGUUUUAAGUACUCAAUUGACAAAUACAAUUAACGAUGAUACUUGUUGCAUUGUUGAAUUCCCUUCUAAUGAAGCGAGUUAUAAAUUAUUUUCACUUUUUGAACAAAAUGAAUAUAUGAUUCAGAUAAAAAAUUGUAUUUCUUACAUUUUUCCAUUAUUUAAAUUAAAAAAAAAAAAUAAAAUAAUUGAAGAAAAAAUACCAAUGCCCAAAAAAUAUUAUGAUUGGUAUUGUCCUGGUUGUAAUUUUUUAAAUUUUGCAAAACGCACUAUUUGUUUUUUUUGUAAAUGCGUUAAAACUAAUGAUGUACAAAUAGUAGAAAAUGAUGUAAUGGGAGCUGGUGGGGGUAUAUAUAUAAAAAGUGGUUUAAAUGAUAAAGAUAAAUCAUAUAUGUCGCUAGGUUGUGGUAAUAUAAAUGAUGAACAAACUGUUAUUGCUGAUUCUAUUGGUUUACCAAAUGUAUAUAUGAAUAGUAAUAACACAGGUAGUAGUAGUAGUAGUAGUAGUAUUACUACUACUACUAGUAUUAAUAAUAACAAUGUAAAACAACAACAGUAUAAAACCAUGAUAUGCCAUUCAAAUAUUGGUCACUAUGAUAAUAUGAGUAGUACUGAAGAAUCUAAUAAUAUGACACAUAAUAACAUGGGUAGUAGCGAUAAUAGUGGCACUACAUGUGUAGAUAAUUUGAAAAGUAAAUUAAAUAAAACAGAAAAUAAUAACUACGUCGGAAAUAAGGAUUAUUCUAAUGCCUAUUCUCCUUUAGCAUCUUUUUAUCGAUUUGAUACUAACAUGGACAACUUUGCAACUACAGUAAACGAAAUAAUAAUGGAUGACGAAAAAACAAAUAUGCUUAUUUUGAAAAAUAUAAAUGGAAGUAUAUCCAAUAAAGACAUUAUAAAAUUUUUGAAUAGUGUAUUUCAAAAUAGAAAUGUUCAAUUUUUAUAUUUAUUUAAUGAUUUAAAAGGGUCGAACAAACAUAAGGGAUUUUGUUUGGUUGAGUUUACUAGUUAUAGUUCUGCUAAUAAAAUGAUGAAAGAGUUAGAAAAUAAUUAUUAUAUAAAAUUUCAUAAUGACUAUCUAAAAUUAGAUUUUAUAUAUGAGAAAGAAAAAGAAGUUUUUUUUAAUUGUACUUAUUUGGCUAAAUUAAAUAUAAAUAAAACUUCUGCUAUUGUUAUUAAACAUCAUAUACCAUAUUUUAAUUUCUCUGUUAAUUAUAUUGAGGCUAUUGUUAAUAGCAAUAUAAUUAAUUAUAUAUAUUUUUUAUUAUGGUCAUCUCAAAUUAUCAUUUUGAAAGAAGCAACAGAAAAAAAAACGAAUAAACAAAAUAAAGAACCGCAAUUAAACGAAUUCUUUUUUGAUCCAAAUAGUCAAUAUUAUUACCACCCCGUGCAUCAAAUUUAUUUUGAUAAAAAUACAAAUUUUUACAUGUCUUUAUCUAAAGGCUAUUACGUAUGGAAUGACACAGCAAAUUGUUUGGUUCGGUUUUAUUUGGAGAAUGAGCAAGAUGGUGUUACUUUAUCUAGUUCUCAUGCUCAUGAUCAGGUGACUACCGCUGCUAUUGCUACAGUUGCUACAAAUAUGGCUGAUAUGACUGAUAUGGUUGAUAUGAUUGAUACUGCUGCUGCUGCUGCUGCUACUACUAAUUCGCAAAGACAUGAUCAGUUUAUCAAAAAUGAGACAAACGCGGACGUUAAUGUAAACGAAGGUGUAGCUGAAUGGAAUAAAACAAAUAAUGUAAGUGAUGUUGGGUGCAGAAAUGUCGCAUGUCAAGGAGGUGUCAAAGAUGCUAAACCAGACGAAACAAACACAUUUCCUGAUGAUUCUCAUCACAAUCUGAACAGUAAAGAAGAUAAUAAGAACACAUCGAGUAGUAAAAUAAAAAGCUUCAUACAAAAAGCUAAAAUAAUAGCUUUGACAACAAAAAAA